RNAcentral lists this ribosomal RNA (1408 nucleotides) under metagenome. RNAcentral describes it as "SSU rRNA". It matches the Rfam family "Eukaryotic small subunit ribosomal RNA", at positions 1 to 1459 of the family's 1831-position model. The record is from RNAcentral.
UCUGGUUGAUCCUGCCAGUAGCAUAUGCUUGUCUCAAAGAUUAAGCCAUCAUGUCUAAGUAUAAAUAGUAUACAGUGAAACUGCGAAUGGCUCAUUAAAACAGUUAUAGUUUAUUUGAUAGUGGAAGCCUACAUGGAUAACCGUAGUAAUUCUAGAGCUAAUACAUGCGUCCAAACCUGACUGAAUUGAAAGGUUGUAUUUAUUAGAUACGAAGCCAAUACCCUCUCGGGGGUGUUGUGGUGAGUCAUAGUAACUGAUCGAAUCUCUCAUCUGAGAGAUAAAUCAUUCAAGUUUCUGCUCUAUCAGCUUUCGAUGGUAGUGUAUUGGACUACCAUGGCAGUCACGGGUAACGGAGAAUUAGGGUUCGAUUCCGGAGAGGGAGCCUGAGAAACGGCUACCACAUCUAAGGAAGGCAGCAGGCGCGUAAAUUACCCAAUCCUGACUCAGGGAGGUAGUGACAAGAAAUAACAACCCGGGGGAUUCACAUCCUUACGGGAUUGCAAUGAGAACAAUUUAAAUCACUUAACGAGGAUCAAUUGGAGGGCAAGUCUGGUGCCAGCAGCCGCGGUAAUUCCAGCUCCAAUAGUGUAUAUUAAAGUUGUUGCAGUUAAAAAGCUCGUAGUUGAACUUCUGACAGUGUGCAGUUUUGGUUUCUAUCAGGCUGCAUUGCUGUCAUCCGUCUGCAAACUCUGUUCAAUCUUCGCUGGUUGGCAGGGGGAGUAGACAUUUUACUUUGAAAAAAUUAGAGUGUUUCAAGCAGGUUAUUGCCAGAAUACUUUAGCAUGGAAUAAUGGAAUAGGACUCUUGUCCAUUUGGUUGGUUAUUGGACCAGAGUAAUGAUUAACAGGGACAGUUGGGGGCAUUAGUAUUUAAUUGUCAGAGGUGAAAUUCAUGGAUUUAUUAAAGACUAACUUAUGCGAAAGCAUUUGCCAAGGAUGUUUUCAUUAAUCAAGAACGAAAGUUAGGGGAUCAAAGACGAUCAGAUACCGUCCUAGUCUUAACUAUAAACGGUGUCGACUCGGGAUUGGAAAGGUUUCCAAUUAUCCUUUCCAGCACCGUAUGAGAAAUCAUUAAGUCUUUGGAUUCUGGGGGGAGUAUGGUCGCAAGGCUGAAACUUAAAGGAAUUGACGGAAGAGCACCACCAGGCGUGGGACCUGCGGCUUAAUUUGACCCAACACGGGAAAACUUAUUUCAGCAAACCAUGAGUGGGAUUGACAGAUUGAGAGCUCUUUCUUGAUUUUAUGGGGUGUGGUGCAUGGCCGUUCUUAGUUGGUGGAGUGAUUUGUCUGGUUAAUUCCGUUAACGAACGAGACCUUAACCUGCUAACUAGUCAGUGUGUUAACCUACGCUCUGUACUUCUUAGAGGGACUAUGGGUAAUAAGCCCAUGGAAGUUUGAGGCAAUAACAG